RNAcentral lists this ribosomal RNA (834 nucleotides) under Triticum aestivum (bread wheat). RNAcentral describes it as "partial small subunit ribosomal RNA". The record is from RNAcentral. Lineage: Eukaryota; Viridiplantae; Streptophyta; Magnoliopsida; Poales; Poaceae.
AUGGUUUUCGAAGACGAAAGCAGUAAGGACACGUCCAGCCUGCCGUACAUGCACUCGACCUCAUCCACGGACGGGCUUAACCAGGUCCCUUUCAGCGUUGAAGAUCCAGAUUACCAGGGGCUUGAGCUGGAAACGAUGUCGCCAUGUGAGAAGCACGGCAAGGCAUCUGAGAGGCUUGUCGCAUUUGAAGGAACAGACACAGGGAGAAGGUUCCUAGAAGGGCAGAAUUGUGGGUUUGUUGAAUGGGUUGAUCACCAGUGGCCCCCAACAAUGCAAAAUGCAUUGUUGAAGCUGUGGGCCAUGGUUGAAGAUAGCAAGAGUGCUAGGGUGAAUGAUAAUCUUGAAAGUUCUUUCACUAUCCACCAUCUGACAGAAGAGAAGAACAAGCUGGAGGCCAACUAUGACAAGUUAGUCCAAGAUGUGCAUGAACUUAUGAGCUUCCAGGAGGACAGGGUGGUGGAUUUCAGAUAUCUGCAGGAUAACCUUACAUAUCAGCAGCAAUGCAGAAGUGAACUGGUGGCUGAUAUGAAGGCACAGAUGGCAAAGAAAGAUGCAGAGUUUGAGAAGCUUAAGCAGAAUUAUGAAGUGCUACUGAACCUGACAAGAGCACAAGCAACAGUCAUCCAGAACUUGAAGUUGAAGCAUAUUAAAGACAAGCAAUUGCUUAGUGAAGAUAAGAUGAACUUGGAGUUGAAGAAUGCAGAGCUCACAAAGUCUAAGGAGAAGCUCACCCAAGAGAAGCUAGAGUUGAAGCUUCAGAUUGCUGAGCUGAUGAAGGCAGAGGAGAAGCUGAAGGAGAAGAUCAAGGGGAUCCAGGCCAUCUUAGAGAAGUGA